RNAcentral lists this ribosomal RNA (526 nucleotides) under uncultured bacterium. RNAcentral's name for it is "bacterial SSU rRNA". It matches the Rfam family "Bacterial small subunit ribosomal RNA", at positions 19 to 518 of the family's 1533-position model. The record is from RNAcentral.
CUGGCUCAGGACGAACGCUGGCGGCGUGCCUAAUACAUGCAAGUCGAACGGUCUUUCUAUGGAAGCUUGCUUCCACUGAGAAGAUAGUGGCGAACGGGUGAGUAACACGUGGGUAACCUGCCCAUAAGAGGGGGAUAACAUCCGGAAACGGGUGCUAAUACCGCAUAGUUUUCUUGAUCGCAUGAUUGAGAAAGGAAAGACGGCCUUUGUGCUGUCGCUUAUGGAUGGACCCGCGGCGUAUUAGUUAGUUGGUGAGGUAACGGCUCACCAAGACGAUGAUACGUAGCCGACCUGAGAGGGUGAUCGGCCACAUUGGGACUGAGACACGGCCCAAACUCCUACGGGAGGCAGCAGUAGGGAAUCUUCCGCAAUGGACGAAAGUCUGACGGAGCAACGCCGCGUGAGUGAAGAAAGGUUUUCGGAUCGUAAAACUCUGUUGUCAGAGAAGAACAAGUUGGAGAGUAACUGCUCCAGCCUUGACGGUAUCUGACCAGAAAGCCACGGCUAACUACGUGCCAGCAGCCGC